AACACUACGUGUUUGUAGUGGAAAUCAUUUUAUUGCUUUUUAGAAAAGCCCUUCGACUGCGCUCAGGGUGACAAAGUAAUAAAAGAUUGGAACGAAUAGCGGGAAUAGCU
RNAcentral lists this small RNA (110 nucleotides) under Flavobacterium sp. 102. RNAcentral's name for it is "Flavo-1 RNA". The record is from RNAcentral. Lineage: Bacteria; Pseudomonadati; Bacteroidota; Flavobacteriia; Flavobacteriales; Flavobacteriaceae.